This is a non-coding RNA of Oryctolagus cuniculus (rabbit), 10070 nucleotides long. NCBI's taxonomy places the organism in Eukaryota, Metazoa, Chordata, Mammalia, Lagomorpha, Leporidae. The record is from RefSeq and is a predicted model, not a curated record.
ACGCUGAUGCAUAACUCCAGGUCUUGCUGGACGGCAGAAACAAGAAGGAGUCUUGGGUUCAUUUCUGAAACUCCGUCCUCUUGUGCGCCACCCUUCCUGCAGGGAGGGGUGGGAGUUUUCUCUCUGGUCCUGCUCACUGCUGGGCCCCCACCUGCAUCUUCCUGAGAGGAUCCUACUUGGAGGUUGCAGUAAUCUAAUUCAGGUAUCAUUCUGGGCACCUCCACAUAUUUCCAAGAGCAAAGAAAAUCAAUAUAUCACCUUUACCAUGAAAAGGGAUGACUUGAUUUGGACCCACUAGGAAAAUCAGGACAAAAAUCUGAGUUAACAUGUUAUGAAAAAUAACAAAACAUCAACUUCAAGAGAGUUGAAUUAAGAAAAAAACUUAAUUUAAGUUCAAGCCAUAUUCCAAAACUGAUUAUCAAAAAGGGAAACUAUUUAAGAAUGAAAUCUGAGGAAUGCAAUGUAUGUCACAGUGGGCGUGAUCAACUACAAGCUGGUGAAAAAUGUGAUGCCACUAAGGUACCUGGGAACUCACUCCAGUUCUGUGAGCCUAUUAGCAUCACAAGAGUCAGACAGUGAAGAAAGCACUUGAAAAUAUUGGACCAGUGAAAGUUCACAAGAGAGAAGAUACUCUGUAAAUCUGAAUGGAUUCAUAUGGAAGAAACCUAUAAUAUAUCAACUGUCACUGUUGAAAAGACAACUCCAAUAAAGAAAAAACUUUCUAUAAAAAUUCUAAUCUUAGUAUGCAUCAAGAAACCCAUACAAGAAAAAAAUUAUAUGAAUAUAUUAGGUAUAUGGAUCUCAACACUUACCAAUCACAUCCUGCAAUAAAUCAGAGACCACAUACAGGAAAAAACCCUAUGCAUGUAAACCUUAUGAAAAAUCAGUCAGUUGUAAGUGCUGUCACAACAUCCAUUACAGUACUCACAUAUAGGAAAACUGCAAUGUGUGUAAUGAAUAUGGAGAGACCACUUAUCAGAUGUCAGAUCUCAUUACACAUAAGAAAAUUCACAAACAGAGGAGACCACAUGAAUGUAAAGAAUAUGGAAAAGCCAUUUUCCAGAAAUCAUAGUUCAUAACACAUCAGAAAAUUCACACAGAGGAGAAACCUUAUGAAUGUAAUGAUCGUGAAAAAGCCUUUUAGAAUAAGUCAGAGCUCAGAAAGCAUCAGAUAACUCACACAGGGGAGAAACCUCAUGAACGUAAUGACUGUGGGAAAGCCUUUGGAUGAAAGUCAGACCUCAUUUCACACCAGAGAAUUCACACACGGGAGAAACUUUACAAAUGCAAUCACUGUGGAAAAUCCUUUUGCUCUAAAUCACAUCUCAUUUCACACCAGAGAAUUCACACAGGGGAGAAACCUUAUGAAUGUGAUGAUUGUGGAAAAACCUUUGGCUGUAAGUCAGCCCUCAGCAGACAUCAGAGAAUUCCCACAGGGAAGAAACCUUACAAAUGCAAUCACUGUGGAAAAUCCUUUUGCUCUAAAUCAUAUCUCAUUGCACACCAGAGAAUUCACACAGGGGAGAAAGCUUAUGAAUGGGAUGACUAUGGAAAAGCUUUUGGCCAUAAAUCAUCCCUCGUCAUACAUCAGCGAAUUCACAAAGGGGAAAAACCUUAUGAAUGUAAUGACUGUGGAAAAGCCUUUGGCCUUAAGCCACAGCUCAAAAGGCAUCAGAAAAUUCACACAUGGGAGAAACUAUGAAUGUAAUGACUGUAAAAAAGACUUUGGCCAUAAGUACAACUCAAAAUGCAUCAGAGAAUUUACAUAAGGGAGAAGUCUCAUGAAUGUAAUGACUGUAGAAAAACCUUUGGCCAGAAGUCAAACCUCAUAAUGCAUCAGAGAAUUCACACACAAGAGAAAAUCAUGCAUGUAAUGACUGGAAAAUAUUUUUGCUAUAAAUCACAGCUCAUGAAACACCAUAGAAUUCACACAGGGGAGAAACUUUAUGAAUGUUAUAGUGUGGAAAAGUCUUUGGCCAUAAGUCACAUCUCAUAAUCCAUCACAGAAUUCACACAGGAAGAAUCCUUAUGAAUGCAAAGACUGUGGAAAAUCCUUUUGCUAUAAAUCAUAACUCAUAACACAGGAGAAUGCACACAGGGAGAAACCUCAUGAACCCAUUAACUGGAAAAGCCUUUGGCCAGAAGUCAAACCUCAUAUUACAUGAAAGAAUUCACACAAGAGAGAAGUUUUAUGGAUGUAAUGACUGUGAAGAGUCUUUGGCCAUAAGCCAAAGCUGAUAAUCCAUCAGUUCACAGAGGAGAGAAAUUUCAUGAAUGCUACUUGAAUUCUGGAGAUAACUAAAGUGCUAUGAAAUAGAAGAGCACAAUCUCUGGUGGUAGAAGUCAAAAUAAUGAUCUGAUCUGGGGAGCUAGACAGAGUGCUAGUAGGAUCAACAACAGAUUGAUAAGGUAGCUUCCUGAUACAGAUCUAAGUAUUAAUACAUGGCAAUUCUUUCCUUAACACCAUCAAUGUUGGAAAAUACAUGAUGUGGUACAUCUUUAGAAGCCAUUUCUUAAUCAGUGAUUAUAGUAGCAUCAAUCAGCAAACUAACAAGUGCCCCACUCACUGUAAGUCAUAAUCCAUGUAGGAAUCAAAUACCAAAAUUAAAUUCUGAGAUAUUAGAGAAUUUUUGAAAAUAUCUGUCCUCUUCCUGCCACUCAGGAUUAUUUGUAAACAGAAUAUAUGCCAAUGAGCUUUAGAAUAUAGAAAUUUAUUGAGGCAUUAGUGGUUAAAAACAUUGGAAAAGCAUACACACACAAAAAGCAUUCCACCUAGAUUAAGAAAUGGCUUCCCAUGUGGGCACCAGUUUGAAUCCCAGCUGCUCCACUUAUUGAGCUUUAUGUUAUGGCCUGGGGAAGCAGUAGAAGAUGGCCCAAGUUCUUGGGCCCCUGCACCCAUGUGAGAGACCUGGAAGAAGCUCCUGGAUAGGCCCAGCUUUGGCCAUUGCAGCCACUGGGGAAUGAGUCAAUGGAUGAAAGAUCUCUCUCUCUCUCUCCCCGUCUCCCUCUGCCUCUUUGUAACUCUGCUUUUCAAAUAAACACAUCAUUUUUUUUUUAAAUUUAGUGAAAUUUAAACCUUGAAAUUUUCACAUCAGAUUUGUACUAGAAUUUUGGAUAUUUGAGUGGCUUGAAUACUAGUAUGGAUUUAUGCCAUACUUUAAGUAUCUAUGUGCAUAGACUAUUUAUGAUGAGAAUAUAAAGAAGAAGUACAAAUAGAAGUCUUUCUUUUUUUAAUUUUAUUUAAGGUAUAGAAAUUUCAUGUACUUAAUACAUAAAGAUUUAGGAAUUUAGUGAUCCUUUCCACCCUAUCCUCCUUCCUACUUAUGCUCUCACACUUCUUCCUCCACUUUAUUCUUUCCUCAUUGUUAUUUUUUACAAAGGUCUGUUUUCAGACUAAUUAAUGCUUAUAAGAUUAACCCUAGACUAAUAAAGUGUUCAAAAAAUUGUAUGAAAAACUAUUCCUCAAGACAAGGACUGUUAAAAAUCAUCACAUUUUUAUUUAUUUAUUUUACUUGAAAGUCAGAGUUACACAGAAAGACUGGGAGAGGCAGAGAGAGAGGUCUAACAUCCACUGGUUCACUCCCCAGUUGGCCACAAUGGCCAGAGCUAUGCUGAUCCAAAGCCAGGGGGCAGGAGCUUCUUCCAGGUCUCCCAUGCAGGUGUAGGGGCCCAAGGGCUUGGGCCAUCCUCUACUGCUUUCCCAGGCCAUAGCACAGAGCUGGAUAGGAAGUGGAGCAGCCAGGACUAACUGGGGCCCAUAUAGAAUGCUGGCACUGCAGGUGGAAAUUUUACCCACUACACCACAGUGGUCUCUGGGUUUGUCAUAAAUUGCUUUGAUUGUGUUGAGAAAUUUUUUUUUUUUUUGACAAGCAGAGUGGAUAGUGAGAGAGAGAGACAGAGAGAAAAGUCUUCCUUUUGCCGUUGGUUCACCCUCCAAUGGCCGCCAUGGCUGGCACGCUGUGGCCGGCACACCACACUGAUCUGAAGGCAGGAGCCAGGUGCUUCUCCUGGUCUCCCAUGAGGUGCAGGGCCCAAGCACUUGGGCCAUCCUCCACUGCCUUCCUGGGCCAUAGCAGAGAGCUGGCCUGGAAGAGGGGCAACCGGGACAGAAUCCGGCACCCCGACCGGGACUAGAACCCGGUGUGCCGGCGCCACAAGGCGGAGGAUUAUCCUAGUGAGCCGCGGCGCUGGCCAAGAAAUGUUCUUUCUAUACCAAAGUUUUUUAAGCUUUCCAUCAUGAAACGAUAUUGUAUUUUGUCACAUACUUUCUCUGAAUCUAUUGAGAUAAUCAUGUUUUUGUUCUUUAGUUUGUUACUGUGAUAUAGCACAUUUACUGAUUCACAAAUGUUGAACCAUCCCGGUAGACCAGGGAUGAAUCCCACCUGGUCCAAGUGAAUGAUACUUCUGAUGUGUUGUUGGAUUUGAUUAACUAGCAUUUUGUUGAGGAUUUUCUGUCUCUAUGUUCAUCAGGUUUAUUGGUAUGUAAUUCUCUUUCUGUGUUGUAUCUUUUUCGAGUUUGGAGGUUAAGGUGAUGGCGUCUUCAUAGAAGGAGUUUGGGAGAAUUUUCUCUCAAUUGUUUUGAAUAGCUUGAGAAGAAUUGGAAUCUAUUCAUCUUUAACUAGUAAAAUUAAGGAAUGAAGUAAUCUAGUUCUGGGAUUUUCUUUGUUGUGAGGUCUUCAUUACUGAUUCAGUCUCCGUCUGGAUACUGGUGUGCUUACAUUUUGCAUGUCUUCAUAAUUAAAUUUUUGUAGGUUUCAUGCAUUCAGGAAUCAAUCUAUUUCCUUUAUGAUUCCUGAUUUGUUGGUGUGCAGCUCUUUGUAGUUAUUUCUGAUUUUUUAAAUUUCUGUGGUAUCUGUUGUUACAUUUCUUUUUUCAUCUUUGAUUUUAUUAAUUUGGGUCUUCUCAUCUCAUUUUUUUUGGUUUGUGGACCAUUGACAUAUCAAUGUUUUUUCAAAAAAAAUCCAACUCUUCAUUUCACUGAUCUUUAGUAUUGCUUUUUUGGCUUCAAUUUUAUUUAUUUUUUAAAAAAGAUUUUAGGUAUUUAUUUGAGAGAGUUACAGACAGAGAAGGAGAGACAAUUUGUCUCUGCUGACAAUAUGGUGACUCUCCCCACCAGCUGCAGCUGAGCAGCUGCAGUUACCUCCACUGUUCCCCCCAGUUGCUGGGUGUGUGCCCAAGACCUGCAGGAGCUGUUGCCUAUCUAUAUACAAAAUGGCACUCUCCCUAUCUCAGCCAGUUGCCAGGUGCCAUUAUGGGCGUAUAGGAAGAGAGAGAUGUGCUUAUUUUCUUUUUCUCUGGGUCAGCAGGCAUCCAUCAGGGCUCUGGACUGGUCUCAAUGACAGUGUAGUUUGCUCAUCUCUCACUCCCUCUGGCAAUAUCACCAGUGGAAUUGACCACUACAGUCUGAUUUCAUCUUGCUUUCCAAAGCUGGCACUUUCUCAGGUUCAGAGAUGCUGGGGUCAUUUGUUAUGUCAGUGUUCAUUGCUGUGCAUCUAUACCUUCUACACAGAUUCAUAGCCCCUCCUUCUACACAAUGUCCUCUUCAACUUUCUCUCCAACUCUCCCCUGAAAGUGCACUUUCUCUAUAUAUAGGUUGAACCUUUUACCAUUAUAACAAUCUGUGGGCCCUACCUCAAGAAAUAAUCUGAAGGUAUUCACCUGCCAAAGUCUUCUAUAAAUUCCAUCACAUUGGGGAUAAAAUCUUCAAUGUAUAAUUUGUUGAAGAAAAAAUUAGUUUGUAAUCUUCUACAGCUGCUGAUCCCACAAAUUCUUCCAUGAGAACUACAUUCAUUCCAUUAUAGUAGUCUGAUAGUCUUAAUAUUUAAAUUAAUUCUAAAUCUAAAAUCCAAUCUCAUUUAAGCAUCCUCUAAAUUGAAUAUGACAGAAAUGAGAUAUAUGACUUCUUCUGGACAAAAAUUCCUGUAAACAACUAAACCACACAAGUUAUGUGUUCCCAUAAUACAAUGGUAAGGUCACCAAAGGAUAGAUAUUCUCAUUCUACAUCAAGAAAUAUUAAAGAAAGUGAGAGAGGUAGGUCCCAAUGAAAUUCAAAACAUAGCAAAACAAAUGCCGUCAUGUAUUAAUGCUGAAGAAUAAUGCUGUUUAAUUGGAGACUCCAUUUUCCAGAAGUAGAGGUGACAGCAUUAUUAUCAUGGCUCUGCAUGAGAAACCAUGGCUCCCAAAAACUGUAUGGCUCUGCACCAUGUAUCAAGUUCUUCCAAGCUCACAGUUCUCAAGGGUAGUAUUGCCCCUAAACCUUUGAUUAUAAUGCAUUUGACCUUAAACAUGAGAAGGUAGCCCUCAUGAUGUCUAAUUAGUUUUGGAGUCUUUCUUACCUGUUAUUUAAUAAGAGCACAUUUUCACAUUCUACUUGCUCCCAUAUUUCCACCUAGUGGUAUCCAAAAAGGCUGACAUCUUUUCUUUAGUUCCUUCCAUAUUUCCCCUUUGUGGUGGAAUGAGAAGGCUAUGCCAAGAUGGCCACUGGCAAGUGAGCACCAGUUACUCAGGAAUGGCUUUGAAACCCACCUGGCAAUGGAGCCUGCCUGGUAACAGGCUGUGAUUGGUUAGGGCAUAAACUGCCCCUUGACCAGAUUGGCUGCCUUGGCUAUAUAAGCUGUUGUACCAACUGAAAUAAAUGAGUCUGCGGGCUGCUCACCUCUGGCCUGCUUUCACCUGACUCCCGGGGUCUGCGUGGUGACUCUGCCUCUUGCCCCCACCAUGCUCCUCCUCUCAGGAAUGAAUCCUCACAGAAGAAAUCAACAGCAACAUCUGGCAUGUCAAUGUGACAGAAAGACAGUGUGUCAGACUCCAUGAGGUCCCCCCUGGAUUUCGACAAGUAGGCCCCUCAAUGUUUUGUGUGCUGUUUGGUUCUGUGAGGGUGAGUACAGAACCCCCUGCUACGCCCCUUUCCUUGUCCUUGUCCUCGAUCUAAAUGACCCUAGGUUAGGCACAUGCCGCUCAGAAGUGUAUGCUGCUUCUCGGCUCCUCCUUUUACUUUCUGUUCACCCAGUGAAUUCACAUAAGGGACUGAUCAUCCCAGAAUUCAGAAGCAGCUCAUCUUCCCUCACUGGAGAGAGGUGACACUCCAGAGACACCGUGUGGGCAUACGGCCUUGACCUAAUGAAUCAAGGAAGUCCCCCACUAAGCACAGGACAUAUGUACGAUCUGAUACACCACUGUCUAUUCUUCUAAGGAAGGGAACCCCCUGCAUAAUGCCAUCAGCCGCUGAGUUGCUAGGGAUUUGCUUUGUAUGGCAGCAGUGCUGUGGGUGUCUUUCCUUUGGCUAGAGUUGGUGUGGUGCACUGCUCUUAAACACUCAAACAUGGGAAAGAUAUCCCCCUCUCAGAAGUGCAUGCAGAUUACUAAACAUAGUCAAUCUGUGAGUGAUCAGACCUGACACUCCAGUUCCCUGUCUCACAGGCAACAGUUGAUAACUUAGGGGGAGAGAGCUCCAACAGUGAAAAUAGCAAUGUAGCAAACAAUGAAAUAAACAAUGUAGCAAUGCCUAGUCAGCCACCUGCCACAUACCUGUGGGAUGAACUUAGAGGACCUCGAGGCAAUAACUCAUGGGAAGUCAUCCCAUCCGACCCAGUGAGGAUCCUCACAUUUGUGGCAGUACUCAGGCACCCCAGGCUCUCAGGGCAACCGUUAGACCCCAUCCCACCCGCAUGUUUGCAGUAAAUGUAGGAGUGGAUGCAAAAUUCAGGCCCUGGAUUCCAACACCUGUAAAAAGCCUUCUGCUAACCAAGGGUCGAGGAUAUGCUUGUGUCUUUCCAGAGAUUAUGGGACAGCCCAUUUGGGUACCAACCAGAAACAUCAAGCCUGCAACUGACAGCCAACCAGAACCAGCUGAACAAGACUGAGAGUCUGCCUUGUUAGCAGAUGCACCUGCCCUAUCAUCCUACCCUGAGAAUCUGCAACUGCCCAUAGCCACAUCCAUUACUGAUUUAAACCCUACUAGCUCUGGUCAGCCACUCAAAUGGCCCACAGACUGUGUGCGGUCAUGCCAUUCCUGAUAACCAUUAUUCCUCAUUCCUACCCCUAUCUGAGCAAGCAAUCCUGUGGUCUCUCGAUUUGAGUGCUGGUUAGUCAACAAUGGGUAAGAUCCCCUGGGGGACAACCUAAGACAGGCACAGCUGUGUACAGAGACCACUUGGAAACAGGGUCAACAAUUAUAUGGCCAAAAUUCAUGCCUCUCAUUGCUCAAAAAUAAACAAAAAUGGGGAAAUGUGAUGGAAUGAGAAGGCCAUGCCAAGAUGGCCACUGGCAAGUGAGCACCAGUUACUCAGGAAUGGCUUUGAAACCCACCUGGCAAUGGAGCCUGCCUGGCAACAGGCUGUGAUUGGUUAGGGCAUAAACUGCCCCUUGACCAGAUUGGCUGCCUUGGCUAUAUAAGCUGUUGUACCAACUGAAAUAAAUGAGUCUGCGGGCUGCUCGCCUCUGGCCUGCUUUCACCCGACUCCCGGGGUCUGUGUGGUGACUCCGCCACUCUUGCCCCCACCAUGCUCCUCCUCUCAGGAACAAAUCCUCACAGAAGACAUCAACAGCAACACCACUUCUUUUAAACAUACCAAUUAUUCUCCACAUAGAAUAUAGUUUACUCGUCAGUGAUGUUCCAGCUACGGCAUUUGUUCUAUUCUAAAUAUUCAUUCUCUUAUGAUAUGGACAGGCUUUCUUUAUCAAAAAUUUUCACAUUUGUUCUGUUUUAGUAUCCUUUACACCCUCAGUAUAUUGCUCUCCUUUUCCACUGUACUAUAAUAUUAGGAGAAACUAAGCCAUUCUGUCGAUAUUUUGUUUAGAAUUCUGUUAAAUUAAAUUUGUUAUUUCAUUUCUCAUAAGUUUUUCUUGAGACCAGUGCUGUGGUGCUGUGGGUUAAUGCCCUGGUUUGAAGUGCCAGCAUCCAUAUAGGGACCAGUUUGAGACCCAGCCGCUCCACUUCCAAUCCAGCUCUUUGCUAUGGCCUGGGUAAACAGUAGAAGAUGGCCCAAGUCCUUGGAACCUGCACCCAUGUGGGAGACCUGGAAGAAGCUCCUGGCCCCUGGCUUUGAACCAUCACAGCUCCAGCCAUUGCAGCCAAUCGGGGAGUGAACCAUUGGAUGGAAGACCUCUCUCUCUCUCUCUCUCUCUCCCUCUAUCUCUAUCUCUCUUUCUCUGCCUCUCCUCUCUCUGUGUAACUCUGACUUUUGAAUAAAUAAAUCUUUAAAAAAAGAGAACAUUUUCUCAUUCUGUUGGUUGUAUCUUCACUUUGCUGAGUGUUUCUUUUUUAAGAUUUAUUUUUAUUUAUUUGAAAGAAUUACAAAGAGAGGUAGAGAUAGAGAGGUUCUUCCAUCUGCUGGUUCACUCCCCAGAUGGCUGCAACAGCCAUAGCCAUGCCAAUCUGAAGCCAGGAGAUUCCUCUGGGUCUCUCAUGUGGGUGCAGGGGCCCAAGCACUUGGGCCAUCCUCCACUGCUAUCCCAGGCCACAGCAGAGAACUGGCUUGGAAGAGGAGCAGCCAGGGCUAGAAUCAGUGCCCAUAUGGGAUGCCAGUGCUUUAAGCCAGGGCUUUAACCUCUGCGCCACAGCUCUGACCCCCUUGCUGAGUAUUUCUUUUGCAGUGCAAAAGCGUCUCAGUUUGAUGUAAUCCCAUUUAUCAAAUUUGGCUUUGAUUGUGCUUCUGGAGUCUUCUCCAAGAGUCUUUGCUUAUGCCAACAUCUUACAGUGUUUCCCAAUGUUCUCUAGUAAUUUGAUGUUAUGGGGUUGUAGAUUUAGGUCUUUGAUUAAUUUUGAGUGUAUUUUUGUGUAAGGUAGGAGUCUCAUUUUAUAUUUUUGCAUGCCUAGAUCCAGUUUUCUCAGAAUCACCAUUUGUUGAAGAGUUUGUCUUUGCUCCAGGAAUUUAUUUUAGCUCCUUUGUAAAAAAUAAGUUGGUUGUAGAUGUGUGGAUUGAUUGCUGCAUUUUCUAUUUUGUUUCACUGGUUUACACAUUUGCUUCUCUACCAGUACCAGGCUGUUUUGAUUAUAAUUGCCUGUAAUAUGUUUUUUUAAGAUUUAUUUUUUUUGAAAGUUGGAGUUACACAGAGAGAGGAGAGGCAGA